RNAcentral lists this ribosomal RNA (303 nucleotides) under uncultured bacterium. Its description in RNAcentral is "partial 16S ribosomal RNA". It matches the Rfam family "Bacterial small subunit ribosomal RNA", at positions 507 to 809 of the family's 1533-position model. The record is from RNAcentral.
AGCAGUCGCCGCGGUAAUACAGAGGGUGCAAGCGUUAAUCGGAUUUACUGGGCGUAAAGGGCGCGUAGGUGGUUAUUUAAGUGAGAUGUGAAAUCCCCGGGCUUAACCUGGGACCUGCAUUUGUGACUGUAUAGCUAGAGUACGGUAGAGGGGGAUGGAAUUCCGCGUGUAGCAGUGAAAUGCGUAGAUAUGCGGAGGAACACCGAUGGCGAAGGCAAUCCCCUGGACCUGUACUGACGCUCAUGCACGAAAGCGUGGGGAGCAAACAGGAUUAGAUACCCGUGUAGUCCCUGUCUCUUAUAA